RNAcentral lists this ribosomal RNA (451 nucleotides) under uncultured cyanobacterium. Its description in RNAcentral is "bacterial SSU rRNA". It matches the Rfam family "Bacterial small subunit ribosomal RNA", at positions 8 to 504 of the family's 1533-position model. Lineage: Bacteria; Bacillati; Cyanobacteriota. The record is from RNAcentral.
AGAGUUUGAUCAUGGCUCAGGAUGAACGCUGGCGGUAUGCUUAACACAUGCAAGUCGAACGAAAUCUUCGGAUUUAGUGGCGGACGGGUGAGUAACGCGUGAGAAUCUACUCUUAGAUUGGGGACAACAGUUGGAAACGACUGCUAAUACCGAAUGUGCCGAAAGGUAAAAGAUUUAUCGUCUGAGAAUGAGCUCGCGUUGGAUUAGCUAGUUGGAGUGGUAAUGGCACACCAAGGCGACGAUCCAUAACUGGUCUGAGAGGAUGACCAGUCACACUGGGACUGAGACACGGCCCAGACUCCUACGGGAGGCAGCAGUGGGGAAUUUUCCGCAAUGGGCGAAAGCCUGACGGAGCAAUACCGCGUGAGGGAGGAAGGCUCUUGGGUCGUAAACCUCUUUUAUUAGGGAAGAAGAUCUGACGGUACCUAAUGAAUCAGCAUCGACUGCCCUC